RNAcentral lists this long non-coding RNA (1311 nucleotides) under Sus scrofa (pig). RNAcentral's name for it is "lncRNA (ENSSSCG00040014035.1)". The record is from RNAcentral. Lineage: Eukaryota; Metazoa; Chordata; Mammalia; Artiodactyla; Suidae.
GGGCUCCAAGCCGACCCAGGAGGGUGCCUUGCGCAAGGCUUUCUGAUGCAACUCGAUGCUGGCCGAAGAACACCUCGGCACCCCCACCCCGCACCCCGCCAGCUUUUCUCAGAAAGGGCCGGCCAGUGGCCUGGAUUCAACACACAUAAUCCCUUUCUUUCCCUGGCCCUGGUGGCUUCAGGACUGGCAGGAGGCAGGCCAGAAGGACAAUUUAGAUGACUCAGCAACUCAACUCAGCAGCCACUCCAGGACUGGGUCCCUCUCCCCGCAACUGGAAGGGAUGAAAAGAGCCACUUGCUGGGGACGUUUGUGGAGGCAGGAAGAUGAUGUAAGGGAAGCACCUGCACAGGACCAUGCUGGAGCCACGGGCACCACAAUCAUGUCCUUCAUGAAGAAAACCCAGGCCCACGGGGCAGAGCUGGGCACCUAGCACGGCUGUGGCUGCCACUGGGCCACCACUGAGCGGAUGCUGUGCCCGGGCACUGGCCUCCCUGCCUUUGCUGGGGCCCAGCUUGAGCCAGAUUCAGAUGCUGAGGGAUUUCUGGAGAACCCCUGGGAAACUCCAGAGAAAGGGGAGGUGCCAAGAUGCCCGACAGAUGCUCCCCAGGAGGACCACAGGCCUGGAGCUGCAACUCUUGAAUCACCCAUCUUUUUCCCCAGAUUUGUUUGGCCUGAAUUUAUCUACUCAUCUGUAUUUUUAGUUCCGUAAUGCUUUUCUUUUUUUCUUUUUUUUUUUUUGCUUUUCAGGGUCACACCUGCGGCAUAUAGAGGUUCCCAAGCUAGGGGUCUAUUCUGAGCUGUAGCCACCGGCCUACACCACAGCCAUAGCAAUGCCAGAUCCAAGCUGAAUCUGCGAACUAUACCUCAGCUCAUGGCAACACCGGGUCCUUAACCCACUGAGUGAGGCCAGGGAUCGAACCCGCAACCUCAUGGAUCCUAGUCAGGAUCAUUAACUGUGUGAGCCACGAAGGGAAUUUCCAUAAUGUUUUUCUUUCAAUGGGCUCAUUAAAAAAACAAAACAAAACAAAACAAAACAAAAAACUGGACUUCCCAUCAUGGCGCAGUGGUUAACGAAUUCAACUAGGAAACACGAGGUUGAGGGUUCGAUCCCUGGCCUUGCUCAGUGGGUUAAGGAUCCCACGUUGCUGUGAGUUGUAGUGUAGGUCAAAGACUCAGCUCGGACCCCGAGUUGCUGUGGCUCUGGCGUAGGCCAGCAGCAACAGCUCCAAUUAGACCCCUAAUCUAGGAGCCUCCAUAUGCUGCGGGAAAUUAAAAAAUAAAAAUAAAUAAAUAAAUAAACUUUAGAUAAGU